RNAcentral lists this long non-coding RNA (1726 nucleotides) under Salmo salar (Atlantic salmon). Its description in RNAcentral is "lncRNA (ENSSSAG00000117908.1)". The record is from RNAcentral. Lineage: Eukaryota; Metazoa; Chordata; Actinopteri; Salmoniformes; Salmonidae.
AGCAAUACACUAGCCUACACAGAACUCGUGUCAGUGAUGUCUGCACUGCACAGAAUUAGGUGAUUUAGACCAGAAUAGACGAGCACCGAGGAGAGGAGAGGAGAGGAGAGAAUAACAUAUUGGCAUAGCUGAAGACAGUUGAAGACAUACAGUAUAAGGUAGUGGUGGUACACUGACUGUAAAUAUCCACAGAGACAAAGAAGCACUGUAACAGCAGCACAACGGAACAGGCUGCAGACAAUACAAGUGUUCACAUCAUAAUUGUCCGCUAGCACUAUCUGGGCCAAUGACACCUGCCUGCAGCUCCCUGUAAACUGACUCCCUUUCUGCCUUAAUAGUGAGGGUCGUGUUCAUUAGGCACCAAACAGGAGAAGGCAGACUGAACCAGGGAGGGACUACCUCGACUUGUCCAAUAAGAAACAGACAUUUUUGUUUUCUGUUACUGAAUGUUUUAAAACAUUUUAUGCUUCAUGCUCAAAUGAACACGGCCCUCCUGUAGCUUCCCUCGAUUAUGGCGGUGAACAGAUUUCUCCACCCACGGCCAUGGGGCAUGAAUUGGGUGAUUUUGUGGUAGUCGGCAAGGUAUAAUCUGAUGAGAUUAGUUUGCUCUUUAAAUAGAGUUCUGUGGCCAGGGAUUAGAUUAUCACAGCCAGGAGCCUCAAGAGCAAAGAGCCUCUGUCUCGUUGACUUUGUUAUGGGAAUACCAUGACAACAAUCAUUCCGAGCAAGAUAGUGGCAUUAGAGAGAGUCUGUGUGUGUGUGUGUGUGUGUGUCUGGGCCUGGCUACUGGGGGACCCCUCCCUCACACACACACACACACACACACACAAACACACACGCAAGCACAAACGCACACACACACACACACACAACCCAAUACACACCCGUACAAAUAGGAACAGAAAUAUCGCCCUCCGACAUGGCAAGGUUAGGUUGACAUCAGUGGCUAACGAUCAGUUCCUCUGUGGUGAAUGAUCAGCUGUAGCCCAGAGGCAUUUCCAGCUUGUUUCCCUAAGUCAUUCAGACGUCGAACAUCACCAGGCUUCAAAGAGCACAAUAACUAGGCCUACAUCCAUCCUGUUCCACUCUCAAAGCACAUAUCUACCCAGUGUCUUCGUCUAGAAACGACAUCAUCCUCAUAGAACUCAAGUUAAGUGGAAAGCAGAGCCAUAACUCUGUUCUGUUUCCAGUUAUUUGUCAUCCACAAAUAUUAGGGAUGGCAAAGCAGAUCCUUUGUUUUAGGUAAACAAUAUAUGUUUUGGCUCACGACGGGUGUGGAAAUAUACGCCCCUUUCUUUACAAUGAGGUAUUUUCUUGACAAUAUUUCUGUCUAUUUUACGGAUCCCUUUUGGCUCAAGAGCAACCCAGAGGCAAAAGUUCUGUAUAGCCACUUUAAAUAUGCUUCAAUGAGUCUGCUGGGCUGUUUGUAUGUGUGACUGUGACUGUUGGGUGUGGUCUUUGUGUGAGCCUGUCCAGGCUACGAUGCCGUGCUAAUCUAAUCUAAUAAGAGCAUUCACUAACCACCAUGAAGCAGCCUCACACAGCAGAACCACAUCUCCUGCUGUUCAUUUCAUGGACCGGCAAAAAUAACAUGCCAGCUAGUUGUCCCACUGUACAUAAAUCUCAGCUAAAUGACGUGUUAUCCGACUGGGAUUCAAAGGGAAAUCGAAGCACCACUUUCGUGGCAGAAAAACAGUAGCAUGUAUUUUUAAACCAGCGUUGUUUU